Molecule: ribosomal RNA, 309 nt
Filed under: uncultured bacterium
Lineage: Bacteria
Description: partial 16S ribosomal RNA
Rfam family: Bacterial small subunit ribosomal RNA
Source: RNAcentral
AGAGACAGCAGCCGCCACGGUAAUACGGAGGGAGCUAGCGUUGUUCGGAAUUACUGGGCGUAAAGCGCGCGUAGGCGGUUACUCAAGUCAGAGGUGAAAGCCCGGGGCUCAACCCCGGAACUGCCUUUGAAACUAGGUGACUAGAAUCUUGGAGAGGUCAGUGGAAUUCCGAGUGUAGAGGUGAAAUUCGUAGAUAUUCGGAAGAACACCAGUGGCGAAGGCGACUGACUGGACAAGUAUUGACGCUGAGGUGCGAAAGCGUGGGGAGCAAACAGGAUUAGAUACCCCAGUAGUCCCUGUCUCUUAUAC